GCAUUGAUCUCUUCAGCACCUAACUCUUCAUUCUUGUGGAGUUUCUUGUGUGGAUUUGCGUGCUGAAUCCUCAUUAGAAUGGAUGAGUCAGUGGCUUGCAGUGAAUGGUUUGUAGGGAGAAGGUGGAUAAUAAUAGAAGCACUUUAAUUUCCCCUGUUCACUGAGCAAACACCUGUUAUUGCCUCAUGGUGCAGGGCGUGCUGGGUGGAAAAGGAGGAGCGAGGUUCUGCUGGGAGGCGGGGAGGCUUGGAGCAGGCAGAGCUGCAGACAGCUGAGGAGGACGGGCGAGCGAGUGGGCUGACUGACCUGUAUUUGCCCGGCCGUCUGGGAAGGUUGGAAAAGCACCGUUUCCGUCAAGUCUGACAGCAGCCUGCACCGAGGGACAUGGAGCCUUGGAGUGGGAAAGAAUGGAGCAGUUUUCCAUGACAUGGAACUGAUGGGCAGAUUUGAGGUCUGUCUGUUGGAGGCCUGGGGGAAACGGGGCAAGAAUCGAGCUCUGCAGCAUCCGAGGAAAGGUGCCUGGCUGGUGGGAGGCCCUCCUCUAACAUUCCUGACUGUCCAGGGAUGAGUUGCAUUUGCAGUGAAAUGCUCACUUGCGCCCACAGUUGCUGCUGGACUGGGACAGCUUGGGACUGUGCAUAAGGAGUGACAGCACUCACUACCUGUUGGAUUCGGGUUUCCUAGCACCUGGAGGCUCUGGUGGGCACCUGGCGCCCAGCUCCCGAGUCCAUCUCUCCAGCGCUCCAGGCUGUGAUGGUGCCGAUGUCCACACGACAGAUCGUUUCUUAGCUUAUUGUCACCUGAAAAGUGCUAGGGAAACAAGCUUAUCUCAGUCCAACAUAAUAUUCUAGAUAAACAACGCGUGAACCUACUGUGCUUUGAGUUCUUUGGUUUUAUGUCACCAAUCUGUGUCACUCUGGCACGAGCAUCCAUUCCUAGUGUUCUGCACUCGUUGGGCAGCUGCUAACGGCCCUCUGGUCAUCCAUUCACCCAGGAUUCAAACACCGCUGCCAUGAGGCUGGACCCUGAGGAUGUGACAGCAGCAAGACCUGCCAAACCUGCUCCUCAGAGCUGAUGGGUUGGGUUCCAGGGCAGGAGGAGUAAAUGAAGACAUUGUACUUCAUCAUAAUGGCUACAUCUCUGAGCUGUGGCCAUUGGACCCCUUG
Heterocephalus glaber (naked mole-rat) is the source of this 1166-nucleotide non-coding RNA. Lineage: Eukaryota; Metazoa; Chordata; Mammalia; Rodentia; Bathyergidae. The record is from RefSeq and is a predicted model, not a curated record.